This is a small nuclear RNA of Phodopus roborovskii (desert hamster), 102 nucleotides long. NCBI's taxonomy places the organism in Eukaryota, Metazoa, Chordata, Mammalia, Rodentia, Cricetidae. The record is from RefSeq and is a predicted model, not a curated record.
GUACUUUCUUUGGCAACACAUAUACUGUAUUUGGAAUGACACAGAUUAGCAUGGCCCCUGCGCAAGGGUGACAUAAAAAUUUGUGAAACACUCCAUAUUUUU